GAGAACUGCCUAUUGAGCACACUAACAGGGGAAAGGUGGAAUAAGGGGGAACUGAUCUCAUGUUUUAAUAGAGGGGCAGAGUGAUUCUGCACUAUGUCUUUCAGUUUACAUACUUAUGGCAGGAAAGAAAGGUAUCCCAAAAUGGCUGAUAAUCUGGCACAUAACAGAAAUUCCUGUACUUCCAGGUUGUGCUUCCUGCCUUACAGAACAGGCCUGGGCUGCUGACCAUGCUCUAAGCCCCUUCCCUGAUUAAAAGAAAUGAAGUUCCUUUGGCUGGAAUUCAGCGGCUCCCUUUGUCAUCGUUGACCAUGAAUGGAUGAACUUCAUGUAGAUGAUGCCCAUUUCCCAUCUUUGAAUCAAACAUUAAUACCAUUUGACAGUAAUAAAUAACAUUUAUCACAAUAGGGAUCUACUAAUGAUUUUCCCACUAAGCUGGCUCAUCAGAACCUAUCAGCUGACAACUGCAUAAAUGAGAUUAGCAUAACAGCUGCCUAUGACAAAUGUAUCUAAAUCAUUUUAAUGCCAGCUAGCUCUUUGAUCUCCCUAUCACGUCGUUGCCAAAACUAAAUCCAUUUCUUCAGGAUACAUGUUGUUUAUUACAGAUACAUGUGUAUAUUCCACACCAUUAUGUACUCCAGAGAUUUCAGUAAUUAAAAAGAAUUAAAAAUACUGAUUGAUACUGCCACUAAUAAUGUAAACUUGCAACUCCGCACUUCAGAACAGCAUUCCACUGCUUACCUCACCCCCUCCCUCCUUCUCCAGACUGCAGAAUUCAGUGUUUAAUAGCUGCAUGUUUCACUGAUACAAAAUACAUGUUCUAAUGUAAACACAUGAAUUAAAUCCUCUUUCUGAGUAUUCCUUACAGCAGGAUCAUUUUCAUACAAUUUAAACUAAUUCCCAGUAAUAUAGAAGUUGGCUCCAGGCACAUAUUAAAGCAACGAGUCAUUGCACGUGUUUGUAUGAAUGCAAGACUAACAAAUAAAAUCUCACUGGUAGUGCACCAU
Molecule: long non-coding RNA, 1004 nt
Organism: Coturnix japonica (Japanese quail)
Lineage: Eukaryota; Metazoa; Chordata; Aves; Galliformes; Phasianidae
Source: RefSeq, a predicted model, not a curated record